CGUCAGGACGAACGCUGGCGGCGUGCUUAACACAUGCAAGUCGAACGGAAAGGCCCUGCUUUUGUGGGGUGCUCGAGUGGCGAACGGGUGAGUAACACGUGAGUAACCUGCCCUUGACUUUGGGAUAACUUCAGGAAACUGGGGCUAAUACCGGAUAGGAGCUCCUGCUGCAUGGUGGGGGUUGGAAAGUUUCGGCGGUUGGGGAUGGACUCGCGGCUUAUCAGCUUGUUGGUGGGGUAGUGGCUUACCAAGGCUUUGACGGGUAGCCGGCCUGAGAGGGUGACCGGCCACAUUGGGACUGAGAUACGGCCCAGACUCCUACGGGAGGCAGCAGUGGGGAAUAUUGCACAAUGGGCGGAAGCCUGAUGCAGCAACGCCGCGUGCGGGAUGACGGCCUUCGGGUUGUAAACCGCUUUCGCCUGUGACGAAGCGUGAGUGACGGUAAUGGGUAAAGAAGCACCGGCUAACUACGUGCCAGCAGCCGCGGUGAUACGUAGGGUGCGAGCGUUGUCCGGAUUUAUUGGGCGUAAAGGGCUCGUAGGUGGUUGAUCGCGUCGGAAGUGUAAUCUUGGGGCUUAACCCUGAGCGUGCUUUCGAUACGGGUUGACUUGAGGAAGGUAGGGGAGAAUGGAAUUCCUGGUGGAGCGGUGGAAUGCGCAGAUAUCAGGAGGAACACCAGUGGCGAAGGCGGUUCUCUGGGCCUUUCCUGACGCUGAGGAGCGAAAGCGUGGGGAGCGAACAGGCUUAGAUACCCUGGUAGUCCACGCUGUAAACGGUGGGUACUAGGUGUGGGGUCCAUUCCACGGGUUCCGUGCCGUAGCUAACGCUUUAAGUACCCCGCCUGGGGAGUACGGCCGCAAGGCUAAACCAG
This 871-nucleotide ribosomal RNA is filed under the name bacterium 111. RNAcentral's name for it is "bacterial SSU rRNA". It matches the Rfam family "Bacterial small subunit ribosomal RNA", at positions 22 to 904 of the family's 1533-position model. The record is from RNAcentral.